This 253-nucleotide ribosomal RNA is filed under the name uncultured bacterium. RNAcentral's name for it is "partial 16S ribosomal RNA". It matches the Rfam family "Bacterial small subunit ribosomal RNA", at positions 524 to 776 of the family's 1533-position model. The record is from RNAcentral.
UACGUAGGGUCCGAGCGUUAAUCGGAAUUUACUGGGCGUAAAGCGUGCGCAGGCGGUUUUGUAAGCCAGAUGUGAAAGCCCCGGGCUCAACCUGGGAACCGCGCUUGAGACUGGCACGCUCGAGUUCGGGAGAGGAUGGUGGAAUUCCCAGUGUAGAGGUGAAAUUCGUAGAUAUUGGGAAGAACACCGAUGGCGAAGGCAGCCAUCUGGACCGACACUGACGCUGAGGCGCGAAAGCGUGGGAGCAAACAGG